This 506-nucleotide ribosomal RNA is filed under the name uncultured bacterium. RNAcentral describes it as "partial 16S ribosomal RNA". It matches the Rfam family "Bacterial small subunit ribosomal RNA", at positions 29 to 523 of the family's 1533-position model. The record is from RNAcentral.
AGUGAACGCUGGCGGUAGGCCUAACACAUGCAAGUCGAACGGCAGCACAGGAGAGCUUGCUCUCUGGGUGGCGAGUGGCGGACGGGUGAGGAAUACAUCGGAAUCUACUCUGUCGUGGGGGAUAACGUAGGGAAACUUACGCUAAUACCGCAUACGAACUACGGGUGAAAGCAGGGGAUCUUCGGACCUUGCGCGAUUGAAUGAGCCUAUGUCGGAUUAGCUAGUUGGCGGGGUAAAGGCCCACCAAGGCGACGAUCCGUAGCUGGUCUGAGAGGAUGAUCAGCCACACUGGAACUGAGACACGGUCCAGACUCCUACGGGAGGCAGCAGUGGGGAAUAUUGGACAAUGGGCGCAAGCCUGAUCCAGCCAUACCGCGUGGGUGAAGAAGGCCUUCGGGUUGUAAAGCCCCUUUGUAGGGAAAGAAAUCCAGCUGGCUAAUACCCGGUUGGGAUGACGGUACCCAAAGAAUAAGCACCGGCUAACUUCGUGCCAGCCGCCGCUGUAA